GCAUGAAAGAAUAGGCAUUUAAUCCAAGUGGUCAACGUUUCAGUUCACAACUAUGAACUUUCCUCAGGACACUGCUGGCUUUCUUUUUGGAGAAUAUAUAUAUAUAUUUUAAUUGGGGUAGCCCCCAAAAUAUUGGGACAUAAAAAAUGACAACUCUGUUCCGCAGAGUAGCUGUUGACAUUAUAGUUGCGCAGGAACUUUGUUGACUCUAGAGAACCUCGGGCAAAUCGCACAUCCCCGUGGCAGCGACUUUGCAUGCGGAUGUCAUCCAUAUCAACUUUCGAUUUCAGUUUCUGCGCCUACCAUUGUGACCACGGGUAACAGGGAAUCAGGCUUCCAUUCCAUACAGGGACCCUGAGAAAUGGCUACCACAUACAAGGAAGGCAACAGGCGCGCAAAUGACCCACUCCCGACGCGGGAAGUUAGUGACGACAAAUAACAAUACAGGACUCUUUAGAGUCCACUUGAAAUCCUUUAACUCUGAUAAAUUGGAGGGAAGUCUGGUGCAGAGCCACUGACCUGUGCAUGCUGCAGCUGAAACUCCACU
Molecule: non-coding RNA, 547 nt
Organism: Pelobates cultripes (western spadefoot toad)
Lineage: Eukaryota; Metazoa; Chordata; Amphibia; Anura; Pelobatidae
Source: the annotation of a GenBank genome assembly